This 810-nucleotide ribosomal RNA is filed under the name uncultured bacterium. RNAcentral's name for it is "bacterial SSU rRNA". It matches the Rfam family "Bacterial small subunit ribosomal RNA", at positions 8 to 796 of the family's 1533-position model. The record is from RNAcentral.
AGAGUUUGAUCAUGGCUCAGAACGAACGCUGGCGGCGUGGAUAAGACAUGCAAGUCGGACGGGACUUUUCGUUGUAGCAAUACAGUGGAAAGUUCAGUGGCGAACGGGUGCGUAACACGUGGGCAAUUUGCCUUAAAGUGUGGGAUAGCUCGGCGAAAGCCGAAUUAAUACCGCAUGUGGCUACUGGAGACAUCUUCGGGACGCUAAAGGUGGCGCAAGCUACCGCUUUUUGAGGAGCCCGCGGCCUAUCAGCUUGUUGGUGAGGUAACGGCUCACCAAGGCGUUGACGGGUAGCUGGUCUGAGAGGACGACCAGCCACACUGGGACUGAGACACGGCCCAGACACCUACGGGUGGCAGCAGUCGAGAAUUUUUGACAAUGGGGGAAACCCUGAUCGAGCGACGCCGCGUGGAGGAUGAAGGUCUUCGGGUUGUAAACUCCUGUCAUUUGGGAACAAGGCGUAUUUAUUAACUGUAAGUACGUUGAUAGUACCAGAAGAGGAAGAGACGGCUAACUCUGUGCCAGCAGCCGCGGUAAUACAGAGGUCUCAAGCGUUGUUCGGAUUCAUUGGGCGUAAAGGGUGUGUAGGUGGCGCGCUAAGUCGGGUGUGAAAUUUCGGAGCUUAACUCCGAAACUGCAUUCGAUACUGGCGUGCUUGAGGACUGGAGAGGAGACUGGAAUUUACGGUGUAGCAGUGAAAUGCGUAGAUAUCGUAAGGAAGACCAGUGGCGAAGGCGGGUCUCUGGACAGUUCCUGACACUGAGACACGAAGGCCAGGGGAGCAAACGGGAUUAGAUACCCCAGUAGUCC